This 1086-nucleotide long non-coding RNA is filed under the name Homo sapiens (human). RNAcentral describes it as "non-protein coding lnc-ST7L-9:1". The record is from RNAcentral. Lineage: Eukaryota; Metazoa; Chordata; Mammalia; Primates; Hominidae.
ACUUCCGGGAGGAAGCGCCCUCCUGGGUCCUGGGCUUCAGGGUGGGCUCGCGCCCCUCCCGGCUCGGGGUCUGCAACUUUCCACCUCUGCGUGAAAAGUCUGGGCAGGACCGUGACUAGUGCUUCGUGCUUUUACCUGACUGUACGCGGAGUUUAGGAAUGGAGGGCUCUGGUGGCCUAAUCGAUUGGGAUUUUAUCCAGAAUGUUAAUAAAUGAAGUGGGCUUUGGUGUCUGCAUUAGAAUGAAUUCGUUGUUGAAAAACCUGGCUUCCUUGCUCCCUUUUUUUUUUUCUUUUUUCUGGAAGCGCCUGUGGGCGUGGUGCUGGAAGCAAGGGUGCAAAGAUGAAACACCUGGAGAUCACCCUUCUCUCAACCACAUUUUGUACAGAAGAGGAUACUAACUUUGGGGGACAUAAACCCAGCCGACCUGCCUUCCAGGCGGAAGUCAAAUAAUUGCAAAUUUGUGUGGCAGGUUUUUCCACCCUAUGCUUGCCAGCUGAGGCGACUUUUUUCUUUCCUUGGCCUCAUUAUAUUGUGGGGAAUGGUGUUUGCAGUGAAGUUGAAACAAUGGAGAGUACAGAGGAUGCAAGGAAUGUCUGCCUUGUGAACACAGGAAUGCAGAUCUUGGUGGCAGCAAGUCUUAGGCAGGACCAAAUAACUCAGAGAGGGGAGUGGAUGUAUAACUAGUUGUAUCCCUACCUAAGGUCAAAGUUUCUGAAUUCCUUUUCCACAGAAUGGCUGUCAGCUCACAGAUUGAUGCAGCUGGUUACAUUUACAAUAACCACAUUAUUUAAAAUACAAUAUAAUAAAUAUUUGAGACGAAUAUUCAUAAUGCAUAAAUAAUGUAGUACACUUAAUACAUUAUCCCUAAACUUAGCAAUUAUAAUUCGCAAGACAGCAUUAGGGACCUAGUGCUUGCCUAGGCAGACAGUCCCCAAGGCAGAUGCAGCCUGCCUCAUGCAGUUUACAGUCUGACUGAGGGAUGUGAUCAGUUUGUGCGAUUAUAGUCUGAAAGAAGUAAACAAGUAUUUAUCAUGUUAUCACUGUGCCAUGUACUUUCAUUUAAUGGUAUUUGAUGUCAUUUUCAG